RNAcentral lists this ribosomal RNA (253 nucleotides) under uncultured bacterium. RNAcentral's name for it is "partial 16S ribosomal RNA". It matches the Rfam family "Bacterial small subunit ribosomal RNA", at positions 524 to 776 of the family's 1533-position model. The record is from RNAcentral.
UACGUAGGGUGCAAGCGUUGUCCGGAAUUAUUGGGCGUAAAGAGCUCGUAGGCGGUCUGUCACGUCGGCUGUGAAAUCCCGAGGCUCAACCUCGGGUCUGCAGUCGAUACGGGCAAACUAGAGUAUUGCAGGGGAGACUGGAAUUCCUGGUGUAGCGGUGAAAUGCGCAGAUAUCGGGAAGAACACCCGUGGCGAAGGCGGCUCUCUGGGACGGUACUGACGCUGAGACGCGAAAGCGUGGGGAGCGAACAGG